GGGGAAUUUUCCGCAAUGGGCGAAAGCCUGACGGAGUGACGCCGCGUGGGGGACGAAGGCCUUCGGGUUGUAAACCCCUGUCAGAGGGAAAGAAGGGUGUCGGCGCGAUAACCGCCGGUACUUGACGGUACCUUCAGAGGAAGCCCCGGCCAACUCUGUGCCAGCAGCCGCGGUAAGACAGAGGGGGCAAGCGUUGCUCGGAAUCACUGGGCGUAAAGGGCGCGUAGGCGGGAUGGCAAGUCAGUCGUGAAAUCUCUCGGCUCAACCGAGAAACGUCGGCUGAUACUGCCGUUCUUGAGGGAUGCAGAGGAGACUGGAAUUCCCGGUGUGGCGGUGAAAUGUGUAGAGAUCGGGAGGAACACCGGUGGCGAAGGCGGGUCUCUGGGCAUCUCCUGACGCUGAGGCGCGAAAGCGUGGGGAGCAAAC
Molecule: ribosomal RNA, 426 nt
Filed under: uncultured bacterium
Lineage: Bacteria
Description: bacterial SSU rRNA
Rfam family: Bacterial small subunit ribosomal RNA
Source: RNAcentral